Long non-coding RNA from Etheostoma spectabile (orangethroat darter), 320 nucleotides. RefSeq lists it as uncharacterized. NCBI's taxonomy places the organism in Eukaryota, Metazoa, Chordata, Actinopteri, Perciformes, Percidae. The transcript is spliced from 3 exons. The record is from RefSeq and is a predicted model, not a curated record.
GACCGCUAUGAUUCUACCAAAGCCCUCCCUUGUUUGCUAGAGUUAUUCUGAGGUGUGGGUUCUGCGGUUUUCUCAGCUCAAGUCAAGAAGAUCUGUUGAGGCACCAUAGACUACGACACAAAAGAGGAUCUCACUGGCCCUGUAUCUACAGUGACUGUGUGUUCCUUCCAAACUCCUGGUGCGUUAAAAUCCCACCUUACCAGAUCACAUUGGAGGACUGUAAGAAGGCAGGUGACAUUGUCUUUUUUUCUGCUUUGUUACUGCGAGUACACAUAAAUCCUAAACUUAUCCGCAAAGUCCAGCUGACAAAGACCCGAGAA